Molecule: long non-coding RNA, 2070 nt
Organism: Gasterosteus aculeatus aculeatus (three-spined stickleback)
Lineage: Eukaryota; Metazoa; Chordata; Actinopteri; Perciformes; Gasterosteidae
Source: Ensembl
GCCUCAAGCCAAGCUAAACUGGACGAACAAAGGGAUGCUAUCAUUAAGCUCAAGGCCGCUCUGGAAAAGUCUGAGCAGGACCUGAAGGCCGGUCAUCUCCAGUGGCAACAGGAAAAGGUUUCCCUCAAAGAACACUGUGUCCACUUAUCUCAUUCUGAGGGUCAACACAUGGGCACGCAGACCCAUGCAGUUGAUCAAGAGAUGGACGAACAGAGAGAGGAGACAAUCAGGAUCUUAGCCACUCUAAAAGCAACACAGGACGAGCUCCAAGCUGAGCGGAUGAAGGGAGAAAAACAGGCCCUUCAAAAUGACAUGGAGGCUAUGAUGUUGAAGGUCCGUGCUGAAUUGAAGCUGGCUAAAACUAACGUGGAGUUUGAAUUGGAAAGUCAACUGGAAAUUGAGAGGGCUCAAACAAAGAAGCAACAAAUUGAAAUAUCAACGUUGGCAGAAGCUCUUAAAAACCAGCAGGAGGCAGUAAAGCAAGUAAAGGAAUUAUUCCAGGCUUUCCAAGAGGACACGAUGAGCAAACAGAGAGCGGAAAGAGACAAGAUGGCUGCAGCCCUGAAAGCAUCACAGGACCUUCUCAAGAGUGAGGAGAUGACGACCAACCAAGGUGAAAUGCAACAAUUCAAGGCCUCAAGCCAAGCUAAACUGGACGAACAGACUCAAAUCAACGAAAGCACCAAGGCUGCUCUCCUUAAGAGUGAGCAUUGCCUGCAUAAUGCACGUCUUGAGUGGCAAAAGGAGAGGUCUUCCCUGACAGAAGUCCGUGACGUUCUUCAAGCCCAGGUGAAGACAGAGACAGAGGCCAAGCAGACGCUGGAGAGAAUCAUAUCAGCCCAUCAAGGCCAGCUAGAAGAACAGAAAGCUAAGUCCAACGAGACCUUGUUAGCUAUGAAAGUUAUCAAUGUUCGGUUAGAAACCCAGCGUCAGGAAAAUUCCUUCCUCACCGCACAGCUGCAGACGCAAGACACAGUCAGCAAAAGCCGUACUAUUGAGUGGGAGCAGGAGAGGUCUCACCUCACAGCCAGGCUGAAUAAAACAUCCACGGACCUUGAACAUGCCCUGCUGAGGAACGUCACUCUUUUUCAAACAAUGGAGAAGGAGGCUGCGGAGACGUUUGAAAGAAACCAGGCAUCCCAAGAACAGCUGAUCUCAACAAUUCGUAAAGACAAAGAUGACUCGUUAGAAAGGCAGCGCCUCAGCUUUCAGGACAUGAUAUCACACCUUGAAACAUCCAACAGAAACUGUGUUACCAAGCAAGAGACGCAGGAGGAGGACCACAAAAACCUCCUAGCAUCUCUGAUCAAGAAGUUUGAGGAUGACCGAGAGAGUAAACGUCACGAAUGGAACCAGGAGAGGUCCGACCUCCUUAAGAUCGCAAAACAAUCCUUGGCAAGGGAGGAGGAGUACCAGGAGAACAACAUCUCCUUAAGCUCUCAUGUGGAAGCCCUUCAAUGUCAGAUCAACAAGCCAAAGAAAAAGUGGUACAAGCUAUUCUAAGGCCCGGCUACAGAUCAAGACCAAUGACCCCCACACACAGACACCAAAACGCAUUGCUGUGAGGUCAGUCAACUCCUAAAGUGCACUAAAACGCACAAAAAAAGAAGAAAAUACAUAAACACAGACAAGAAACACACACACACAUAGACAACAAAUACAUAAACACACACACACACACACAGACAAUAAAUACAUAAACACACAGACACAGACAACAAAUACAUAAACACACAGACACAGACAACAAAUACAUAAACACACAGACACAGACAACAAAUACAUAAACACACACACACAGACAACAAAUACAUAAACACACACACACAGACAAUAAAUACAUAAACACACACAACAAAUACAUAAACACACAGACACAGACAACAAAUACAUGAACACACACACACAGACAACAAAUACAUAAACACAGACAACAAAUACAUAAACACACACACACAGACAAUAAAUACAUAAACACACACACACAGACAACAAAUACAUAAACACACACACACAAAAAAUACAUAAACACACACACACAAAAAAUACAUAAACACACACACACAGACA